UUAGUAAUUUUAAUUGCAAUGCUAGGUUAGUACUUGGAAAUUGCUUGUGUUGGAAAUUGUAAUUCACAUAUGUUCUUGAGAUAGGAUUUAGACGAAAUUCCAUGAAUUCUAGGAUUGAAUUGAGCACCCUUCAGCUUAGGUCUGUAAAUCUUAAGUUUGGGGGAACUGAGGAGUAGAUAUACCUUUCUAGAAAAAAAAAAAGAACAAAAAAAAAAUAGUAGUAAAUAAAUUCACAAAAAAAUAAGUGGUAGAAUUAACUAGGUUGAGCUCAUUAGUACUCGAGUAAUUAAGUCUGAGGGGACUUUGUGCCUAACAACCUAAAGCCCUUCGUGGUUUGGGAUUGUUGACCCAACGCUCGCUACAUGGGUACUAGUGCAUAAAUCUUUAGGGAUCUCAACCAUUGCACGGUUAAAUAAACCACUAGAAUAGAGUGAAUAAUUGGUGUGUGAAGUCUUGUGGUGUUCGUAACGCAUUUACACUGCGAAGCGCUCUGACCUUAGACCGAGCAAUGAAUCACCAAUAAUAAAAAGAAAAAAAAAAUAGUGAAUAAAAUAGAAGGGUGUGGACAUUCUUUGGGACCUUGGCUUUUAGUUGGACUUGAGUGACGGGGUGUUAGUUUUAAACUUUUACGAUUCUUGAUUGGGAUUCUGUGGGAGUAGUAGUUUUUGUCUUGUCUCAAUAAAAGAGCAUGCUUGCACACACUGGCACUCCACACUUGUAAAUAGAAGAGUAAUUGACUUGGUAGCGAGAGAGAUGAAAUUCGAGAACAUUAGCACAAUCUGAGGUAUUAUAAUUGGCAAGGCAAUUACUUCAUAGUUCACUCAUUCAUCACGUAGUUGCAUUCAUGCAUUGCAUUGUAUUAUUGUAUAGUGUCGUUGACGCUUGAGGACAAGCAUCAGUUUAAGUUUGGGGGUGUGAUAAGUGGUAUUUAUACACACUUAUAGGCCUUCAUUUCCACUUAAAUUGGUUGGUUGUACUUAAGUGUUUAGUG
This 991-nucleotide long non-coding RNA is filed under the name Daucus carota (carrot). Its description in RNAcentral is "long non-coding RNA (DCAR_LNC003500)". Lineage: Eukaryota; Viridiplantae; Streptophyta; Magnoliopsida; Apiales; Apiaceae. The record is from RNAcentral.